UACGGAGGGUGCAAACGUUGCUCGGAAUCAUUGGGCGUAAAGCGCACGUAGGCGGCCUGUUAAGUCGGGUGUGAAAGCCCGGAGCUCAACUCCGGAACUGCCAUUGAAACUGUGAAACUUGAGGACGAGAGAGGUGAGUGGAAUUCCCAGUGUAGAGGUGAAAUUCGUAGAUAUUCGCAAGAACACCAGUGGCGAAGGCGGCUCACUGGCCCCGAGUACUGACGCUGAGGAGCGAAA
RNAcentral lists this ribosomal RNA (237 nucleotides) under uncultured bacterium. RNAcentral describes it as "partial 16S ribosomal RNA". It matches the Rfam family "Bacterial small subunit ribosomal RNA", at positions 524 to 758 of the family's 1533-position model. The record is from RNAcentral.